GAGCACGUAGGUGGGUUUGUUAGUCAGAUGUGAAAGCCUUUUGCUCAACGGAAGAAUUGCAUCUGAAACUACAAACCUUGAGUAUAGGAGGGGAGAGUGGAACUUCUGGUGGAGCGGUGAAAUGCGUAGAUAUCAGAAGGAACGCCGGCGGCGAAAGCGACUCUCUGGCCUAUAACUGACACUGAGUGUGCGAAAGCUAGGGGAGCAAACGGGAUUAGAUACCCCGGUAGUCCUAGCCGUAAACGAUGGGCACUAAGUAGGGGGAACUACCGAUGUUCUCUCUGCCGUAGCAAACGCAUUAAGUGCCCCGCCUGGGGAGUACGGCCGCAAGGCUAAAACUCAAAAGAAUUGACGGGGGCUCGCACAAGCGGUGGAGCAUGUGGCUUAGUUCGAUGCAACGCGAAAAACCUUACCGGGGCUUGACAUGGUAGAAGUAGGAACCCGAAAGGGGGACCAACGGUAUCCAGUCCGUAACUAUUACAGGUGUUGCAUGGCUGUCGUCAGCUCGUGUCGUGAGACGUUGGGUUAAGUCCCCUAACGAGCGAAACCCUUGUUUUUAGUUACCAGCGGGUAAGCC
This 577-nucleotide ribosomal RNA is filed under the name uncultured Candidatus Scalindua sp. RNAcentral describes it as "bacterial SSU rRNA". It matches the Rfam family "Bacterial small subunit ribosomal RNA", at positions 565 to 1131 of the family's 1533-position model. The record is from RNAcentral. Lineage: Bacteria; Pseudomonadati; Planctomycetota; Candidatus Brocadiia; Candidatus Brocadiales; Candidatus Scalinduaceae.